This 468-nucleotide ribosomal RNA is filed under the name uncultured bacterium. RNAcentral describes it as "partial 16S ribosomal RNA". It matches the Rfam family "Bacterial small subunit ribosomal RNA", at positions 28 to 507 of the family's 1533-position model. The record is from RNAcentral.
GACGAACGCUGGCGGCGUGCUUAACACAUGCAAGUCGAACGGAAAGGCCCUGCUUUUGUGGGGUGCUCGAGUGGCGAACGGGUGAGUAACACGUGAGUAACCUGCCCUUGACUUUGGGAUAACUUCAGGAAACUGGGGCUAAUACCGGAUAGGAGCUCCUGCUGCAUGGUGGGGGUUGGAAAGUUUCGGCGGGUGGGGAUGGACUCGCGGCUUAUCAGCCUGUUGGUGGGGUAGUGGCUUACCAAGGCUUUGCCGGGUAGCCGGCCUGGGAGGGUGGCCGGCCGCAUUGGGACUGAGAUACGGCCCAGACUGCUACGGGAGGCAGCAGUGGGGAAUAUUGCACAAUGGGCGGAAGCCUGAUGCAGCAACGCCGCGUGCGGGAUGACGGCCUUCGGGUUGUAAACCGCUUUCGCCUGUGACGAAGCGUGAGUGACGGUAAUGGGUAAAGAAGCACCGGCUAACUACGUG